GCGCAGCAGGCGCGAAACCUCCGCAAUGCGGGAAACCGCGACGGGGGACCCGAGUGCCGUGGCAACGCCACGGCUUUUCCGGAGUGUAAAAAGACUCCGGGAAUAAGGGCUGGGCAAGGCCGGUGGCAGCCGCCGCGGUAAUACCGGCGGCCCGAGUGGUGGCCGCUAUUAUUGGGCCUAAAGCGUCCGUAGCCGGGCCCGUAAGUCCCUGGCGAAAUCCCACGGCUCAACCGUGGGGCUUGCUGGGGAUACUGCGGGUCUUGGGACCGGGAGAGGCGGGGGGUACCCC
RNAcentral lists this ribosomal RNA (289 nucleotides) under uncultured microorganism. Its description in RNAcentral is "partial 16S ribosomal RNA". It matches the Rfam family "Archaeal small subunit ribosomal RNA", at positions 330 to 621 of the family's 1478-position model. The record is from RNAcentral.